Molecule: ribosomal RNA, 305 nt
Filed under: uncultured bacterium
Lineage: Bacteria
Description: bacterial SSU rRNA
Rfam family: Bacterial small subunit ribosomal RNA
Source: RNAcentral
GUGCCUAGGCAGCAGUGAGGAAUAUUGGUCAAUGGGCGGAAGCCUGAACCAGCCAAGCCGCGUGAGGGAAUAAGGCCCUACGGGUCGUAAACCUCUUUUGCCGGGGAGCAAGGGCCGGGACGCGUCCCGGCCCGGAGAGUACCCGGAGAAAAAGCAUCGGCUAACUCCGUGCCAGCAGCCGCGGUAAUACGGAGGAUGCGAGCGUUAUCCGGAUUUAUUGGGUUUAAAGGGUGCGUAGGCGGGCUUUUAAGUCAGCGGUAAAAAUUCGGGGCUCAACCCCGUCCGGCCGUUGAAACUGGGGGCCU